Molecule: ribosomal RNA, 421 nt
Filed under: uncultured bacterium
Lineage: Bacteria
Description: bacterial SSU rRNA
Rfam family: Bacterial small subunit ribosomal RNA
Source: RNAcentral
UAAGGAAUAUUGCUCAAUGGGAGAAAUCCUGAAGCAGCAACGCCGCGUGGAGGAUGAAGGGUCUAUGACUUGUAAACUCCUGUAAAGAAGGAAAAAAUUCCCAUUUGAUGGGAGAUGAUGGUACUUCUGGAGUAAGCCCCGGCUAACUACGUGCCAGCAGCCGCGGUAAUACGUAGGGGGCAAGCGUUGUCCGGAUUUACUGGGUGUAAAGGGUGCUCAGGCGGAUUUGUAAGUCAGAGGUGAAAUCUUACAGCUUAACUGUGAAACUGCCUUUGAUACUGCAAGCCUAGAGUAUGGAAGAGAGUGAUGCAAUAUCUGGUGUAGCAGUGAAAUGCGUAGAUAUCAGAUAGAACACCAAUGGCGAAGGCAGUCACUUGGUCCAUUACUGACGCUAAAGCACGAAAGCGUGGGUAGCAAACAG